AUUGAACGCUGGCGGCAGGCCUAACACAUGCAAGUCGAGCGGAGCGGCGGACGGGGGAGUAAUGCCUAGGAAUCUGCCUGGUAGUGGGGGAUAACGUCCGGAAACGGGCGCUAAUACCGCAUACUAACAGAUGAGUCGAGGUCGGAUUAGCUAGAUGGUGGGGUAAAGGCCUACCAAGGCGACGAUACGUAACUGGUCUGAGAGGAUGAUCAGUCACACUGGAACUGAGACACGGUCCAGACGCCUACGGGAGGCAGGAGUGGAGAAUAUUCGACAAUCGGCGCGAGACUGAACCAGCAACGCCGCGUGAAAGAAGACGGUCUUCGGAUUGUAAACUUCUGUAGACAGGGAAGCGGUACCUGUCGAAUAAGCCACGGCUAACUACGUGCCAGCAGCCGCGGUAAUAC
Molecule: ribosomal RNA, 407 nt
Filed under: uncultured bacterium
Lineage: Bacteria
Description: partial 16S ribosomal RNA
Rfam family: Bacterial small subunit ribosomal RNA
Source: RNAcentral